CUUUGGAUAAAAGCGUCGGCUAAAUGACAGAUGAGUAAUUUGCUGUGUCUUUUUGCUUGUUAGAAUUUUUGGGUUUAUUUUUUUAAUUUUUUUAUUGGCUUAUUGACUUUGGUGUCUAUGGGCAAUUAAAGGACUAGAUUGAAGGGUCUUGCCCAGUCAAAUAACUAUAUAAUAUUAGAUAAGGGGAAUAGUAGAAUACUAACUUGUACCAUAACUGGAUCAGAAAGCAGAAGCUCCACCCACUUCCCAUUUCUAGACAGUCUACUUCUGAACUUCCUGUGAUGUGCAAGCCAAGACUUACAAUUUGGUGCUGGUUAUCAGGAAGACAGGAUGCCAUGCAAAUUAAAGGGUAGUGAAAUAAACAGAGUGAUAGCGUCUGUUCCAGAAGGCACAACAUGCAAACAUCUGCUGUGAACUGGUCUGAGAAUCAGUUGGAUCCGCUCCCAUUACCCUCCAACAAAUAUUUACUGCCCUAUUAGGACCUUCCCUAGUACCCAUCAUAACAGAGCUGCCCACUAAAGGGCCUGAUGGUGAACCCUAAGAAGCUGCCAUGUUAGAGCUGCUGCAGGCCCCGGUUCUGUGGGAAUAGCAAAAUGAACGCCAUUACACCUGACAGCAUAUUCAGUUCCUCAGACAUCAUUGUGACAGACCUGGUCCCAUGAUCGGCCUAAUAAUUAAAGCUAUCCUGCAACCGGCGCCGUACUGCUGUGCUGCAUGCGCAUCAGGGGCCCAUGACAUGAUACAGAGGGACAGCUUAACUAUUAAAUAUCCAUCACGCCACGCCACAUCAGUCCUAAUGCAAUCAGAAACACAUGACUACAUCGCCCGGGCCCCCACUUCAAUCCACAAUGAUUAAAUGACAGUUCGAUUUGAUUGGGAAGAGGGGGGAUCUACUGUAGCUGCGCAGACUUAUUCGAGGCUUUGUGUACUUCAGAGAGAACGCACGUGGGCUGUGGUCUUUUUGCUGUAUUAUCAUUUUAAUGAAGCAGGGUAUUUCUUUUGUGGUCGGGAGGCUCUAAUGCAGUUGUCCAAGACUCCCCUUUCAUCUGUCUUCUUCAAAUGCUCGAGGUUGUUAAACAAAUGGAUGUGUCUGAGUAUAUAACGCUGAUGUGGCCAGGCUGUUGUUGACUGGGCCAAUUAGGGCUCAGAGAGAAAAGAAUAAGGCAUGUCUGUUCACUCACUCAAACCGUCAUACAAUACAGUCUGGCUGCUUUGUGUUUAUUAAAAUCACCUGGAUCCUUAAGGAUUUUGUAGAACACACCGUAGUAUGACAUUGCUAUCUGACGAUUUUCAUUAUCAGGACUUCCUGUACUGUUUUUAUCUUGCUAAUUAGCAUCUAAUUAUAAUAAAAAUGUUUUCCUCCUACCUGAUAUGUCAUGAAUUACCCGAUACCGUUGUCUCCGUGUUUAAAUGAGUGAGCAUCUUUAGAAAAAUGUUUAAUUUUACACCCAAGAGAUGAUAAUGAUGCAUACCUGUUUUCUUUAGUCGUAAUGAGAAUGCUGAAAUACGACAACGCUGAUUUCUCAAUGUGCUAAUUACUGAGCAAGUGCUGAUGCGCUAGUGGCUAAAGAUGUAUCCAAGUAAUAUUGUCAGUCAUGUUCUUUUCCAUAACGUCCACAACAAAAAUAGUUUUUGAAGAAAUAUGGUAGUUACGCUUUAAAAUAUAACAUUUUGAAAAUGCAUAGCAAGAAUUGCAUUAAUACAAUUUAAGAGUGUUAAUUUCAUUCAAUAAAUGC
Cyprinus carpio carpio is the source of this 1736-nucleotide long non-coding RNA. The record is from Ensembl. Lineage: Eukaryota; Metazoa; Chordata; Actinopteri; Cypriniformes; Cyprinidae.